Lepisosteus oculatus (spotted gar) is the source of this 2235-nucleotide long non-coding RNA. RefSeq lists it as uncharacterized. The record is from RefSeq and is a predicted model, not a curated record. NCBI's taxonomy places the organism in Eukaryota, Metazoa, Chordata, Actinopteri, Semionotiformes, Lepisosteidae.
CCCAGCAAACCUCCCUCCUCUCUGAGCACCCACACAGGAGCUGGCUGUGCCACUCAUCACAGCCCCUAAUGUAGCCGGCUCUUCAGCCUUUAUUUCAGAGUGUGGGGAUAGACAGUAGACCUUCUCUUUUUGGUGCAUUGAUUAAAAUUGCUCUGAAUGUAGCAUUGCUUCAGUUUGGUAGCUUGUGUUCAUGGGGGCUGGAGGAUGCAGAACAUGCAAUCAUGAUUCAUUUGGACAUUACUUGGAGGUGGCAGAACUGGCGCCACUGCCCACGUCGAUCAAUGUGGAAGUGUGACACUGUCAAGACUCCGGACUCCGAGGUAGCAGCGCGACAGACUGGAGAGGUGCACGCAGGCAGGCUGGAACGGCUGAGGGAGGAUAAGAGAAGGCAGAGGAGUGACGCUGAAAAGCACCUGGGAGGCGACUGCCCGCCAGAGCCGGCGGCAGGGUCAGCUGGAGAGUAGCCCAAGGGCAAAAGGCUCCUCUGGGUCGGUACUUUGAGCUUAAAAUGACAGUGGCAGGCUAACGCAGAGCUAAGUCAGUCUGGCAGCGCAGGGAAACUCCAUGUCAGAGCACCAGUCUGGCACAGAGCUGAACCUCAAACAGGGUGUUUAAUCAGGGUGGUUGACUACUUAUUGGCGGCCUGUUUGGGGGAAAUUGCCAGACAGGCGGCCUGAUCUCGCUACCCUGGGGCUGGUUUAUGGGUAGGUGCUCAUGGUAAUGUCAUGGUCUCCCUUAGCAACAGCCGGCUGUGAACUCACUAUGUAGAGUGGCACCAAGACUCAGAAAACACACUGCGUCUCACCAUUUCGCUUGCCUUUUGCUAACAAAAUCAACACAUUAAUUAAUUGUGAACUCUAAAAUUAAAUGGCUUUUGGAAAAUUAAGCAAAUCCAAUUUAUAAGAUGAACAUGAAGCUUUAUCUUGUGCAUCUCUUUGUUCCUGGGAUGUUUCUAGGCACUAGUUGUAUUUCUGCCAAAUCUAUACUGCACCUCACUGUUUAUCUACUCCUUAAAAAAUGUAAUCUAAAAAUCAGGAUGGUGUUUCAUUCUGCAAGAGCAUAGAACAAGGCAGCCACAGAGAGCUCAGCUACCUCAUGCUUUCAUCCAAUGAAAUAAUAACACCCUGGUUGUUUUUCAUGAUUGGUUAUCAGUUUAUCUGCCUGUUAGCACCCUGAAACCUUGUAACACCCUUCAGGAAAUUAUAACAGCAAUAUUUUUUUCUCUAAAACUCCUCUUUGUCGACUGGGAACUAAUUUGGCCUUUUUUUUCUUGCUGUGAGGUGCAACCCACACUGCAUGGCUGCUGUGGAACUGUGUUGUUAACAUCACUAUUUCAAAAAUAAAAUCCCCAAAAAGCACACGUAAGAACUUAGUACAUAAAGUGACUGAUUCUUAUAGUCAAGUGACUCUGAAUCUCUAAACUAGAUAUACUGUAAAAAUAAGAGGGAGAAUUCAGGCUUGUUAAGUAAUAAUGGCUGACAAGUGGGAAAACAUUGGUGUUUGAAUAAUCUGGGAUGAGCACAGUAACAGUAAACUGAUACUCAGAUUGACAUCAAUAUUUCAUUGGGGGCACACUCAAUGCUUUUGUGAGUGGAUAGGAUUGCUGAUUGUAGGCUGUAAUAAAAUAUUGAACUCAAGCUAUGCAAUUUCAUAAAAAUGUUAAUUGGUCAAAGUUUAGUAUCUGAGUUGUAUUAAAAUUGCUCAAAAGAGUUUGCUAAUACUCUGUAAAAACAGUCAUUUUAAUGCCUAGCUUGAACAGCUAAGAUUGUUUGACUACUAUAGUAUGAUCAUCGCCUCCUUUCUGCGAGAGAGGAUUUCUGAAGAGUAACAUGUUCUGCUUCAACAAUUCAUGGAUGAGUCUAAAUCAGCCAGGAAAUGUUCUGGAAGGCAGAGGCUUGGCACACUAAGACUACAACAAUGAAAAAAGUAUCUAACAACACAAGAAAGUCAUGUUGAAGGCUAUGUGGCCUGCCUUGCUUGUUUGGUUGCAAGUAUGUAAUUGAUCUAAUUAGAGUUGUUUCUUAAAAUGCACCUGCUUCAACAAUGUGAUUGAGAAGCUUUUUUUAUAAAACGUUCUGCGACUUCAAAACGAAGUGUGUGCCAUUCGCCCUUUUUGGCUUCCCAGAUGGUUAGCGAGCGAAAUGACUGGAAAAUAGUGAAACACGAAAGAAAUAUGAGGUUAGGUAUCAUGGCAACGUACAGAAGAGAGAAAUGAAGUGCUGUACAUGAAAAGCA